This 440-nucleotide ribosomal RNA is filed under the name uncultured bacterium. RNAcentral describes it as "bacterial SSU rRNA". It matches the Rfam family "Bacterial small subunit ribosomal RNA", at positions 338 to 784 of the family's 1533-position model. The record is from RNAcentral.
CCUACGGGAGGCUGCAGUCGAGAAUCUUCGGCAAUGGGCGCAAGCCUGACCGAGCGACGCCGCGUGUGCGAUGAAGGCCUUCGGGUUGUAAAGCACUGUCGAGGGGGAGAAAAGCCCGCAAGGGUCUGAUCUAUCCCUGGAGGAAGCACGGGCUAAGUUCGUGCCAGCAGCCGCGGUAAGACGAACCGUGCGAACGUUGUUCGGAUUCACUGGGCUUAAAGGGCGCGUAGGCGGACAAUCAAGUCCAGGGUGAAAUCUUUCAGCUUAACUGGAAACGUGCCUUGGAUACUGGUUGUCUCGAGGGAGGUAGGGGCAUGCGGAACUUCCGGUGGAGCGGUGAAAUGCGUAGAUAUCGGAAGGAACGCCGGUGGCGAAAGCGGCGUGCUGGACCUCUUCUGACGCUGAGGCGCGAAAGCUAGGGGAGCGAACGGGAUUAGAUA